Molecule: ribosomal RNA, 253 nt
Filed under: uncultured bacterium
Lineage: Bacteria
Description: partial 16S ribosomal RNA
Rfam family: Bacterial small subunit ribosomal RNA
Source: RNAcentral
UACGUAGGGUGCGAGCGUUGUCCGGAAUUAUUGGGCGUAAAGCGCACGUAGGCGGUUUGUUAAGUCGGAUGUGAAAUCCCUCGGCUCAACUGAGGAAGUGCACCCGAAACUGGCAGGCUUGAGUACUAAAGAGGGUCGCGGAAUUCCCGGUGUAGAGGUGAAAUUCGUAGAUAUCGGGAGGAACACCGGUGGCGAAGGCGGCGACCUGGGUAGAUACUGACGCUGAGGUGCGAAAGCGUGGGGAGCAAACAGG